AGCCCUCCGAUUGGCUGCCAGCACUUUGACGAAUGGCCAAUUGGCAAUAACAAUAACAAAAGUGAGAGCUCACCUGCAGGAUCCGGUUGUUGUUUGAUGAGGCCUACUGCGAUUUCAACGCAAACUUUCAGCUACUUGGAUGACGCGUCACCACUAAGAAAUUUUCCACUAAAACAACACACAAUCACCGGAAUCAACCGCGCGCGGACGAAGGCGCUUGCCAAAAGUUGGCGCGGAAGCAGGGUUGGUGGCCAAUAGGCGGCUCGGUCUCGCCGUGGCCUCUGAUUGACCAGAAAUAUGCCCAAUAGAAACGCCAGCGACCACUUGAUUGGCUGGCUUGGCGUAGAAGUGAGCGUGUGCGUGUGAGUGUGUGUUUGGUUUCUUCUUUCAGCUCCGUUUGACAGGUAACUCACGCGCGUUGAGUGGCGCACGCGGAGUGGGAGCGAGGUGUUUACCUAGUCGAGUUAAGAAAAUUGCCAAUAAAUCUCUUCAAACAGUUCGAAGUUUGAAAAACUUCAGUAAAAAGUUUACAAAAAAAAUGGUUGAAGUGUGUAAAAAACACCCUUUUUCGACAAUCUUGCCUUGAGUUACCAACGCUUGGAAGGAUCAUGGUUUAUUCCUUUGAAAACGGGUCGGCGCCGAAUGGAACUCAAUCAGUUAUUCGACAGCAACUCGAACAAGUAUGAACCUGUUGAUAAGUUGUCAAAACCAAAGGAUUUUGUAAAAAUCUCUUCAGCUGGACGACUAAAUGAUUUUAAGAUUUUCAACUUUCAAACGCAGUCAUAAAGAAAAAAACAAACGCUUACACAGCAAACUUAGGUUAGCUUCAAGCAUUACCCAAGCGUUUGUGCUCCUACCGAGUAAAAGCUCAUUCAUGGAUGAAAGCUUGCAGCAGCUAAGCUUGGUAAGCAUUUUGCCUGGUUUGUGCAUUGGCUUGUUAUUCAGUUUGAAACGUUUGAAGAUUAAUGUGUGACCCUGUUCUAUCGUUGUCUGGAUUCCAACUCAGGAAACGGCCAAUACGGGCAAUCGCUGCAGACUCCGAUUUGAACUUAAAUACCGGCAGCGAUCAAGAAAACUCCAUCUUCGAGGCCGACAACGGAAAAGUAUUUUGUGUUGUAAAUAUAUCUCAGAUUGUGAUGAUAGUGACUGUGAUGAUUGUGAUUGUGAUCUUAGAUUGUGUUGUUCUAACACAUAAAAUUCCAUCGAAAUUU
Long non-coding RNA from Culex quinquefasciatus (southern house mosquito), 1211 nucleotides. RefSeq lists it as uncharacterized. The transcript has 3 exons. The record is from RefSeq and is a predicted model, not a curated record. Lineage: Eukaryota; Metazoa; Arthropoda; Insecta; Diptera; Culicidae.